GGCAUCGGAGUUUGUUGAUGCGGAAUAUUGCUGGUAGAAGUGGUAGCAAAAGGUGUUUCAUUUGAAUAAAGGUUAGUAGGGGUCGGUUUAGUGGUCGAAUUAUUUGUUGACGGAGUACUGGAAUUAUUUGAAUUGUUGUUGAUGACGGCAACCCUGAAUAAUCGAUAUCGAUCACUCUUUGUUCUGUGUUUUUUGUUAUCCCUAACUCAUGUAUUAGUUAUUAUUAGUUUUUCUGUUCCGUAUUUCUUGCCGGCUAUUAACAGUAAAUUCUAUCUACGAAAUUGAAUAUAAAUUGCCUCUUCCGUUUGUCAGAAGUUAAUAUUGUUCUGUCCGCGGCAUAGAAGAAAGCCGAAAGCGAAGAAUAAACCAUGCCACGUCUUCUAUUGUGAA
This 390-nucleotide long non-coding RNA is filed under the name Rhagoletis pomonella (apple maggot). RNAcentral's name for it is "uncharacterized LOC118755408". Lineage: Eukaryota; Metazoa; Arthropoda; Insecta; Diptera; Tephritidae. The record is from RNAcentral.